RNAcentral lists this unclassified non-coding RNA (272 nucleotides) under Peniophora laxitexta. Its description in RNAcentral is "partial internal transcribed spacer region". The stretch from base 1 to 46 matches the Rfam family "Eukaryotic small subunit ribosomal RNA", at positions 1786 to 1831 of the family's 1831-position model. The record is from RNAcentral. Lineage: Eukaryota; Fungi; Basidiomycota; Agaricomycetes; Russulales; Peniophoraceae.
AAGUCGUAACAAGGUUUCCGUAGGUGAACCUGCGGAAGGAUCAUUAGCGAAGUUCGGAAUGCCGGUUCGGUGCUGCAGCUGCCCAGCGAUGGGAUGUGCUCGUCCGGGCCGGUGUCCCUUCUCUAUUCCACCCCACUGUGAACCAAGCGUGCGAGCAGAAGAGAGAUCGGAAGCUCGCAUGCACACUUUAACAUACCCCUUAUGAAGCAUCUGAAUGUACCUUGCGUUAACUCGCACAAAUACAACUUUCAACAACGGAUCUCUUGGCUCUC